GUCUACGGCCGUGGCACCCUGAACAAACCCAAUCUCAUCUGAUCUCAGAAGCUAAGCAGGGUCGGUGCUGGUUAGUACUUGGAUGGGAGACCACUUGAAAAUACCGGAUGACAUAGGCU
RNAcentral lists this ribosomal RNA (119 nucleotides) under Pteropus alecto (black flying fox). The record is from RNAcentral. Lineage: Eukaryota; Metazoa; Chordata; Mammalia; Chiroptera; Pteropodidae.